Molecule: long non-coding RNA, 1369 nt
Organism: Oreochromis aureus
Lineage: Eukaryota; Metazoa; Chordata; Actinopteri; Cichliformes; Cichlidae
Exons: 3
Source: RefSeq, a predicted model, not a curated record
ACGGCUCGUUGGCCCGCCCACACCCCCUCAGUCCUGCCCCACCUGCAGCUUUCCACACAGCUGCUUGCUGAUGGUGAGUCCACUCGCCGACACUGAAAGAGGAUUUUGGAGACGAAAGCUAAAAGGCUCUAAGCGCCACAUCCAGCGGCUGCCCUGCGCUGUAAUCUGUCAAGCGGAAUUUAGCCCCUCUCAUCCAGCGGUACAUCUCUUUGGAUUGCUGUAGGUGAAGAAGCGAGGGAUGCUCGCAGGGUCCUUGAACGCCACAAAUAAGUUCACGAAGCGUGCAGAAAGAGGACUCGCCUGUUGAUUCGGGCUCUAGUUCAUUUCGGGAAUAUUUGAGUAGUACACUUUUCAUCUCUAUGGCAAAGUUCUUGGCUGAAUUACUGGGAUGCACACUUCCCGACAAGGGCACCCCUCCUUUGUUCGAGUGUCGAAGCCAGCCCCAUCUUCGAAUGAGGCCUUCCUCCAAACAGCGGAUUAACGUCUCACUCCAACGCUUUUCUGGACAUCAUUACAGAUGCACCGAAACACACAUCUGACCACACCUAUCGGCAACACCAGAUGUGGUCAAAGCUUUCAGCUGUGAAGCGUCCAAGUAAAGAUGAGCUAAGUUAGCAGGAAUUCAGGGCGUCCUGCUAAAACGUUUAUUACGACCAUCUGAGUGAGAGUGAAGCAGUGACAUAUGAUCAAAUCACAACUACAACUCACAAGAUGAAGAGAUAUCCACCCUCACCCUGUCACAAAGUAAUCUACUAGUAUGUGAUUCUGCAUUUAAGCAGCUAAACAAUGCUGGAUGAUGUUGAAUUGCUGGAAAAAGGUUUGCUGAAUGAUAAUCCCCCCGCCCACCUGAAGCUGCUUUGCAUUUUUAUCCACAGUUGAAGUUGGUCUUAAUGUUUAUGUGUUUUUGUUUCAUUGUAUUUUGAUAUUCGUUGUUUAUGUUUUGGUUCAUUUAGUCGUCUUUAGCUCCGAGGUUGCCUAGUUAUAGUUCUUCGCUCAUUUUCAUUUAGUUAAAGUUCGCCUUGUUGUCGAGUGUGUCUUAUCUGUCAUGUUUUAUGUCUGCGAGUCUUCAUGUCGUCAAGUUCGGGUCACGUCUGCGUCCCGUCAUGUUUCCUGUUUAUUUUGAAAGUCUUCCACUUCCCCUGUGGUGUCAUUAUGAUUUGUUUGUGUCAGCUGUUUCCCCAUGUUUGGCCCUGAUCACCUCAUGUGUGUAUUUUGUCUCUUACUGUUCGUUGUCAGGUCGUCUGCCUAUGUAACCCCCAUGUUAAUCAUAGUCAAGGUCACAGUCAUAGUUAAAAUAAUAGUUUAGUUCAUAGUCUAGUCUUGGUUAUCGUUUUUGUUUGAUUUAUUCAUGUAUCAGCCAAAUAAAGGC